GAUUCUGGCUCAGGAUGAACGCUAGCGGCAGGCUUAACACAUGCAAGUCGAGGGGCAGCGGGAUGUAGCAAUACAUUGCCGGCGACCGGCGGAUGGGUGCGUAAUGCGUAUGCAACCUACCUUAUACGAGGGAAUAACCUUCGAAAGGAGACUAACACCCAUAGUUAUUGAUUAAGGCAUCUUAGAUUAAUUAAAUAUUUAUAGGUAUAAGAUGGGCAUGCGUAUGAUUAGCUAGUUGGUAAGGUAACGGCUUACCAAGGCGACGAUCAGUUAGGGGUUCUGAGAGGAAGGUCCCCCACACUGGUACUGAGACACGGACCAGACUCCUACGGGAGGCAGCAGUGAGGAAUAUUGGUCAAUGGGCGCAAGCCUGAACCAGCCAUGCCGCGUGCAGGAAAGACGGCCUUAUGGGUUGUAAACUGCUUUAACAUAAGACUAACCGUAUAUUUGCGAAUAUACCUGAAUGUAUUAUGAGAAUAAGGAUCGGCUAACUCCGUGCCAGCAGCCGC
RNAcentral lists this ribosomal RNA (509 nucleotides) under uncultured bacterium. Its description in RNAcentral is "bacterial SSU rRNA". It matches the Rfam family "Bacterial small subunit ribosomal RNA", at positions 15 to 518 of the family's 1533-position model. The record is from RNAcentral.